RNAcentral lists this long non-coding RNA (202 nucleotides) under Vigna radiata. RNAcentral's name for it is "long non-coding RNA (VRAD_LNC013449)". Lineage: Eukaryota; Viridiplantae; Streptophyta; Magnoliopsida; Fabales; Fabaceae. The record is from RNAcentral.
CAAUUGAUUCAUUUCAACAUUUUCACUUCCAAAUACCAUAGAUAAAAUAGAACCUCACUUCCAUUACAGAAUCCAUAUCCCUCCUUUCACUCCUUUUAAAACUCUAAACCCUCCAUUUUCAUCUCAAAAUUUGAACAUCAAUUUUUCUUGUCUCUCUUACAUCAUUAAUUUUCUUAAUACCCCACCAUCAAACAUAAAAUUG